This 253-nucleotide ribosomal RNA is filed under the name uncultured bacterium. Its description in RNAcentral is "partial 16S ribosomal RNA". It matches the Rfam family "Bacterial small subunit ribosomal RNA", at positions 524 to 776 of the family's 1533-position model. The record is from RNAcentral.
UACGUAGGCAGCGAGCGUUGUUCGGAGUUACUGGGCGUAAAGGGUGUGUAGGCGGUUCUUUAAGUUUGGUGUGAAAUCUCCCGGCUCAACCGGGAGGGUGCGCCGAAUACUGAGGGACUAGAGUGCGGGAGAGGCAAGUGGAAUUCCCGGUGUAGCGGUGAAAUGCGCAGAUAUCGGGAGGAACACCAAUUGCGAAGGCAGCUUGCUGGGACGGUACUGACGCUGAGGCGCGAAAGCGUGGGGAGCAAACAGG